Molecule: transfer RNA, 62 nt
Filed under: Clostridium sp. USBA 49
Lineage: Bacteria; Bacillati; Bacillota; Clostridia; Eubacteriales; Clostridiaceae
Rfam family: tRNA
About the family: Transfer RNA (tRNA) molecules are approximately 80 nucleotides in length. Their secondary structure includes four short double-helical elements and three loops (D, anti-codon, and T loops).
Source: Rfam by way of RNAcentral
GCGGAACGGCAGACGCACUCGACUCAAAAUCGAGCGGGAAACCAUGUGGGUUCAAAUCCCAC